Molecule: ribosomal RNA, 232 nt
Filed under: uncultured bacterium
Lineage: Bacteria
Description: partial 16S ribosomal RNA
Rfam family: Bacterial small subunit ribosomal RNA
Source: RNAcentral
CGGACGGGUGAGUAAUGUAUGGGGAUCUGCCUGAUGGCGGGGGAUAACUACUGGAAACGGUAGCUAAUACCGCAUAAUGUCUACGGACCAAAGCGGGGGACCUCCGGGCCUCGCGCCAUCAGAUGAACCCAUAUGGGAUUAGCUAGUAGGUGGGGUAACGGCUUACCUAGGCGACGAUCCCUAGCUGGUCUGAGAGGAUGACCAGCCACACUGGAACUGAGACACGGUCCAG